This 804-nucleotide long non-coding RNA is filed under the name Olea europaea (common olive). RNAcentral's name for it is "long non-coding RNA (OEUR_LNC004480)". Lineage: Eukaryota; Viridiplantae; Streptophyta; Magnoliopsida; Lamiales; Oleaceae. The record is from RNAcentral.
UUUAAAGGAAGUCAAACGAGGACAAAGAUAAAAAGGAAAUAACAAAUGUUCUUCACUUAUUCCGCAAAAUCACAAGCUCAGAAAUGAAGAAUAAGGGGAGAGGGAGAUUGGGAAAUCCUACUUCUCCUAUUUCUUUGCCUUUUUAUCGGCAGUUGUAAUAUUUUCCUACUAUUUUCCUGUGUCAAUGGAUUGACGUUAUUUUGCCAUUAUCGUAAUGGAACUAUAUAAUUCCUUUUCAGAUACAUAGACAAAAAGAUAAGCUGCAAAAUCCGUGCCUGUAUUAUUUAGCUUAAACAAGCAAAAUUUCCUUCACUCUAGAAAGAAGUAAAUCCAAGAUCUAUGAUAAAAUAAAAAAUAAAAAAAUUCAUAUGAAAGCAGAAAUUGGAGGCUCAGAUUCGCCUUUUAUCAUCAGAAGAGACAAAUGGCUAACCCGCCAUGGCUGCAGAAAUCAGUUUGAUUUAUGAGAGCCAUCUCAUAAAUAAUCUAAUUUCGCCACGCCAAGAUACAGGUUUGCUCGAAAUCUGAUCUUUUAAUUGAAAAAAUCAUCACAGCCUCAAAAUAAAGGGAAAAUUGCAGCAUUGGUCUCCAAUCCAAGUCACUGGGAAGAGAUCUGUAUUGAUCUUGAUGAACUGACAAGGGUUGUUGAGAUUUUGUUGUAAGAUCAUCGGCCGCUGGAUGCAUUUGAGGGGUAACAACCCUAGAAGACUCCCUUCCUCGCUGCAUAAACCAGUAGCCUCAUUCUUAAACUAAUGAGAUUUUGGAAAUUUCAAGGAAAUUGGUUUGUGAUUUAUAGUCGGUUUUAAG